This is a long non-coding RNA of Pan troglodytes (chimpanzee), 1632 nucleotides long. RefSeq lists it as uncharacterized. The transcript has 10 exons. The record is from RefSeq and is a predicted model, not a curated record. Lineage: Eukaryota; Metazoa; Chordata; Mammalia; Primates; Hominidae.
GGUCAGAAUUCUUUGUCAGCUGAUGCUGUUGGGUGCCAGUUGCUGGGUCUCCAGGGAGAUAAGGGGCUUCCCAUAUAGGGAGGUAGACCAUUUAGUCCAGGGCCCCACACUGGUUAACCAGUUCUGUUACUGACAAAGCUGGCCCCCUAUAAGAUGGAGUCUUUCCCUGUUCAGUGUCAUGAAACCAAAUGUAGGAAACUGAAAGUGAGUUUCAAGCAGUACAGACUUAUUUAAUGGUCAUGGAAUUGAGAAGUGGGAGCAUGGCUCAUGAGUCAACUUCUUGACUAGAAAAUGGGGCAUAUUGUCCUGGAAUUAUGGCCAACAUUCUACAGGGCAACAGGUCAUUGAUUCUGAUCCUGCCAGCAUCCACCCAUCUUAUUGGUGGGCAUCAUCCCAGGGUGAACCUGUGAAAGAUAUUGCUUAGUACUGCUUGGAGGCUCUUUGAAUCUGGCUUGGUUGUUCCUGUUCCUGACAUUUAUGAAUAAAUAAAAACUACGGAACUCAACAACUAUUUUUAGCCUCUGUGGACAGCUCCAUAGGGAGAAUGAACUAUUCGUCAACGUCAACCAUAUUUUACUGAAGAUUUUGAAGGUAUUCCAAUGUGACUGACUACUACGUUUCCUCACAUGUGUGCUGCUGUAUCUGAGAUCACCAUGUUUUCAAUUAUCUCAUAUGAACCUAUGAGGUCUCACUCUGUUGCUCAGGCUGGAGUUCAGUGGCUAUUCACAAGGUGCAAUCAUGGUGCACUACAGCCUUGAACGUCUCUUCUCAAGUGAUCCUCUUGCCUCAGCCUUCCAAGUAGCUGGGACUACACCUGAUUGUGCUGACCACAGGUAAGUGAAAACUCAGAAAAGUGAACCCACAGAUAAGCGGAGACUCCUCUAUAUUUGGUCUAAGCCAAGAAUCCAUUUCCUCUCUGUAAAUAAGAGUGGCAUAUCCUCCUGAAACAGGAUCUGAGGUGUAGCAAAAUGCAAGGUGUAGGAUUUGAAAAGAUGGAAGACGUGUUUGCAAAUACAAAAUGCAAUCAAAGUUUCAAAUAAUGUUGAAUUUUAAUAAUGUUUCUGCUUCCAGUAAUUCAAGUCAAUGUGGCAGAUUAUAUUUUCCAAACAUAUGGUAGUAGAGCUGGUGGAAUGAGAGAGAUUUUUGCAGCGAUCUCAGGAAAAUACAGUCUGAUGUGGUCAGAUAUUUUCUUCCUUUUUGUAGCAUAUCUAGAGAAUGUGAGGACCAAAUAGAUGGGAAAUGACCCUGCUGACUGUCAGCACUGCAUGCUUGCUUAACUGCAAUCCACAGCAUUGGGCAGAAUCUUAGAAUACAUAUAGAAGAUGGGAUAGGACGAGAAACCUCCAAGCAAGAAGACAGAAUUUGAAAUUUCCACCAAUCAGAACACUGAACAGGGAUCCUUUUACUGUAUGGCUGCCUUUGCAUACACCAACGAACUCACGUGUUCACCUGUAUCUGCAUCGAUUAGAAAUUGCACUUCCAGGAAAUAAAAGAAAAGUAAAAUAAAAACAACACAGAAAGAAGAAGGAAGCCCGAGAAGGAUAUUUUAAACUAAAACUGGCCUGGAACUGGACUUCAUUGCACUGAACUGAGGACUGGUUUCACCUGGCCUCCAAGAAGAGUGCCAGCCAU